CUGAAUUUGGGGUCAGGUGCUGAGAUUUGGGGUCGGUUUGUGAGAGUUUGGGGUCAGGGCUGGAGAUUUGGGGUCAUUUCAUGAGAGUUUGGGGUCAGAUGCUGAGAUUUGGGGCUGAUUGGGCUGAAUUUGGGGUCAGUUCAUGAGAGUUUGGGGUCAGAUGCUGAGAUUUGGGGUCAGAUGCUGAGAUUUGGGGUCAUUUCAUGAGAGUUCGGGGUCAGAUGCUGAGAUUUGGGGUCAGAUGCUGAGAUUUGGGGCCGAUUGGGCUGAAUUUGGGGUCGGGUGCUGAGAUUUGGGGUCAUUUUGUGAGGGUUUGGGGUCAGAUGCUGAGAUUUGGGGUCAGAUGCUGAGAUUUGGGGUCCGUUUGUGAGAGUUUGGGGUCAGUCUGUGAGAAUUUGGGGCCGAUUGGGCUGAAUUUGGGGUCGGGUGCUGAGAUUUGGGG
RNAcentral lists this long non-coding RNA (442 nucleotides) under Gallus gallus (chicken). Lineage: Eukaryota; Metazoa; Chordata; Aves; Galliformes; Phasianidae. The record is from RNAcentral.